Molecule: ribosomal RNA, 253 nt
Filed under: uncultured bacterium
Lineage: Bacteria
Description: partial 16S ribosomal RNA
Rfam family: Bacterial small subunit ribosomal RNA
Source: RNAcentral
UACAGAGGUGGCAAGCGUUGUUCGGAAUUACUGGGCGUAAAGGGCGCGUAGGCGGCCUUCUAAGUCAGACGUGAAAUCCCCCGGCUUAACCUGGGAACUGCGUCUGAUACUGGGAGGCUAGAGUAUGGGAGAGGGAUGUAGAAUUCCAGGUGUAGCGGUGAAAUGCGUAGAUAUCUGGAGGAAUACCGGUGGCGAAGGCGGCAUCCUGGACCAUUACUGACGCUGAGGCGCGAAAGCCAGGGGAGCAAACGGG